UAUUAGGUUGGUGCAAAAGUAAUUGUGGUUUUUGCCAUUAAAAGUGACGGCAAAAAACUGCAAUUACUUUUGCAUCAACCUAAUA
MicroRNA precursor from Pan troglodytes (chimpanzee), 85 nucleotides. It matches the Rfam family "mir-548 microRNA precursor family". The record is from Rfam. NCBI's taxonomy places the organism in Eukaryota, Metazoa, Chordata, Mammalia, Primates, Hominidae.